AGUGGUUAUAAUUAAGGAGUUAAUCUUUAGGAAGUAAGGUUAAGGUAGUUAACUUGAGAUACAUGAGCAUUAUGUCUCGAAUGAUACUACUUUGGAAUAGUUGACUGAUUGUUACCUUUUGUAAUUAAGUGUGAAGAACGUCUGGUCCGCCACUUCUCUCUUCUUCCCAAUCAGAGCAAUCUUUAUGCAAGAGUUCAGUUAUAAGAGCCACCAACAUAGUAAACUUUCAACAAGAAUCCUCAAAGCGAGGAUGGCUUUGGCCAAUCCACCAUAUCCUCUAUUUUUUUGGGUAUGCAGAAACGAUGUGACCAAGAUAAGCAAUGAGUUGUUUGCAAAACUACACAUGACAUCUUGACAAUAAAAUUAUUACAAGUUAAAACCUUUUGAAGAUGGUCAAUGUGAAAGUCUUU
This 410-nucleotide long non-coding RNA is filed under the name Salvia miltiorrhiza (redroot sage). RNAcentral's name for it is "long non-coding RNA (SMIL_LNC014264)". Lineage: Eukaryota; Viridiplantae; Streptophyta; Magnoliopsida; Lamiales; Lamiaceae. The record is from RNAcentral.